UGAAAUUUAAAAUUGGAAAACUGCGACCUUUUUUGUCUCUCAAGUAUUUCUGUUGUCGUCUCGUUCAAUUGAACCCUUUUAUGUCUUUUUUAAUUCAUAUCAAAUAGUGUUUAUACUUUUUGUUAUUUGAACAGUAAUUACACUCUAUCAAACAACAGUAUUUUGUGGUUAUACUUUUUUGAAACCUGCACAAACAGAGAUUGCUAAAUAAUUUUGAAAAAGAAUAACUUUAUCCAUUAUGCUUUAUAAAAUUGAACGUAAUAUUCACACCAGACUUCAUAGCAAUGAAUUUGUCGUCAUAAACAGGUCAUGGAUGACGAGCAUAUUCUUUUUAUCAUACUCGGCAUUAAACCGGUCAUGGAUGACGAGAAUUUUUUUUUUAUCAUACUCGGCAUUCAACAGUUCAUAGAGGACGAGCA
Molecule: long non-coding RNA, 419 nt
Filed under: Mytilus galloprovincialis (Mediterranean mussel)
Lineage: Eukaryota; Metazoa; Mollusca; Bivalvia; Mytilida; Mytilidae
Source: RNAcentral